AAUCAACGCUGGCGGCGUGCCUCAGACAUGCAAGUCGAACGCGAAAGUUUCCUUCGGGGAACAAGUAGAGUGGCGCACGGGUGAGUAACACGUAGGUAAUCUACCUUUGGAUGGGGGAUAACAACCGGAAACGGUUGCUAAUACCGCAUAAUGCAGCGGCACCUAAUGGUGACAGUUGUUAAAGCGGGGGAUCGAAAGACCUCGCGUCUGAAGAGGAGCCUGCGGCGGAUUAGCUAGNGGUAAGGUAAUGGCUUACCAAGGCGACGAUCCGUAACCGGCCUGAGAGGGCGGUCGGUCACACUGACACUGACAUACGGGUCAGACUCCUACGGGAGGCAGCAGUCGGGAAUUUUGGGCAAUGGGCGAAAGCCUGACCCAGCAACGCCGCGUGAAGGAU
RNAcentral lists this ribosomal RNA (397 nucleotides) under uncultured bacterium. RNAcentral's name for it is "bacterial SSU rRNA". It matches the Rfam family "Bacterial small subunit ribosomal RNA", at positions 32 to 409 of the family's 1533-position model. The record is from RNAcentral.